RNAcentral lists this ribosomal RNA (252 nucleotides) under uncultured bacterium. Its description in RNAcentral is "partial 16S ribosomal RNA". It matches the Rfam family "Bacterial small subunit ribosomal RNA", at positions 524 to 776 of the family's 1533-position model. The record is from RNAcentral.
UGCGUAGGGGGCAAGCGUUGUCCGGAUUUAUUGGGCGUAAAGGGCGUGUAGGCGGCUUCGCAGGUCUGUGGUGAAAGGAUACAGCUCAACUGUAUUGAGCCGCGGAAACGGCGGAGCUUGAGGCUGGGAGGGGCUGGUGGAAUUCCCUGUGUAGCGGUGAAGUGCGUAGAGAUGGGGGAGAGCACUCGUGGCGAAGGCGGCCAGCUAGACCAGUUCUGACGCUGAGACGCGAAAGCGUGGGGAGCAAACAGG